GCGCCCCUACGGGACGCAGCAGUGGGGAAUAUUGCACAAUGGGCGCAAGCCUGAUGCAGCGACGCCGCGUGCGGGAUGGAGGCCUUCGGGUUGUAAACCGCUUUUGUUCAAGGGCAAGGCACGGUCUUUGGCCGUGUUGAGUGGAUUGUUCGAAUAAGCACCGGCUAACUACGUGCCAGCAGCCGCGGUAAUACGUAGGGUGCAAGCGUUAUCCGGAUUUAUUGGGCGUAAAGAGCUCGUAGGCGGUUCGUCGCGUCCGGUGUGAAAGUCCAUCGCUUAACGGCGGGUCCGCGCCGGGGCCGGGG
This 305-nucleotide ribosomal RNA is filed under the name uncultured bacterium. RNAcentral describes it as "bacterial SSU rRNA". It matches the Rfam family "Bacterial small subunit ribosomal RNA", at positions 333 to 637 of the family's 1533-position model. The record is from RNAcentral.